CGUACAAGCUCGUAGGGCGAAACUGCGGACGGCUCACUGUAUCAGCUGCACGCGCGGUGCCCUGGGCCCAGUCGGUUAUCGCGGGCAACUCUCACGCUAAUCGUGCUGGCCGCAUCAGCCACGGGCGCUGCGGGGAUGACGACGCGGGCACCACCGGCUUCUGGCGCAUCACCUAGAAGGGGGGGUAAGGGCCCCCCUUGGGGUUCACGCGGACGGGGGAUCGGGGUUCGACUCCGGAGAGUGGGCAUGAGAGACGGCCCACAGUUCUAAGGGAGGCAGCAGGCGCGGAAAUUGCCCAAUGUGCCACGCACGAGGCAGCGACGAACAAUCUCGAGCCGCAUGGCGGCAUUGAGCUGACCGGGCGCCACACCGGCCCGGGAACGCGAUUAGUGGGAGAGCAUGGUGCCAGCAGCCGCGGUAAUUCCAUCACUGACAGCUUUCUCUUACGUUGCUGCAGUUAAAACGCUCGUAGCCGGCGCCAGGCGACGCGCCACCUUGAGAAAAACGGAGUGUUCACACCAGGGGCCGCCGCUGCACGCCGCAGCAAGGCACGGCGUGGCGCUCCGCGCACCGCCACAUGGCGGCGCGGGACCGGCGGUAUCCGGGGGGGACAGGUGAAAUAGGGUGAUCCCCCGGGGACCCACGGCAGCGGAGGCGGCCGGUAAGCGCCGUCCAGUUGGUCAAGAGCGAAAGCGCGGGGAUGGACGACGAUUAGAGACCGUUUUACUCCGCGCCCUAAACGGUGCCGCCGCGGAAGCGGGCGCGCUCGCCUCCCCAGGGAAACCGCGAGUUCCGGGCUCUGGGGGGAGUAUGGUCGCAAGACUGAAACUUGAAGGUAUUGACGGAAGGAUACCACCAGACGUGGAGUCUGCGGCUCAAUUUGACUCAACACGCUAACCUUACCAGACCCAGACGCCCUGCGGAGCGACAGAUUGAGAGUUCUUUCGCGAUUGGGCGGGCGGUGGUGCAUGGCCGCUCCUAGUUCGUGGUGCGAACUGUCUGCCUCAUCGCGUUAACGAGCGAGACGACCGGCCCCGGGCGAGCGCCGGCGACAAGCCGGACGAACGCGGUCGCGCUAGCAGGUCUGUGAUGCCCCUCGACACUCUGGGCCGCACGCGUACUACACUGCCGGCCGCACAGCGUCGCCCCGCCUGAGGGCGCGGCCACCCGCGAGCCGCCGGCGUGGUGGGGACCGGGGCUUGCAACUGUCCCCCGCGAACGAGGAAUGUCCCGUAGGCGCCCGCGACCACCGGGCGCCGAUUGCGUCCCUGUCCUUUGUACACACCGCCCGUCGCUCCUACCGACUGGGCGGUCUGGCGAGCUGUCCGGAGUGCCCCGCACGAAGCCCCGCGAGCCGUACCGUCUGGAGGAAG
Molecule: ribosomal RNA, 1373 nt
Filed under: Spironucleus meleagridis
Lineage: Eukaryota; Fornicata; Diplomonadida; Hexamitidae
Description: SSU rRNA
Rfam family: Eukaryotic small subunit ribosomal RNA
Source: RNAcentral